AAGUCGUAACAAGGUUUCCGUAGGUGAACCUGCGGAAGGAUCAUUAACACGUGAUACUCACGUAUUUAAAUCCACCGAGAAAUUGUUAUCUAUCCUAUUGUUGGCUGCAGACAGACGAAGUGAGGGAAUGCUAUGGGCCGCCUUUCGAAAGAUUGUACGCCCUAACUCAUCAGUCGUUCCAUGGUCCGCCCAGGAGUUUGCACUGGCAAAUAGUUGACGAGUUACAACCGCUUAUUAAGCAUGUAGCAUUGCUUGCGAGAUUGUAAUGAACUUAUUAACCCAUUCUUUACUAUUAUUUACUGAUUUGUAUGUUUAUAUGAAUUCCUGACUUUAACUAGUUGGUUGAGUUUAUGUAAAUGUCGUAUAUUACUAAUACGAAACAACUCUUAGCAACGGAUAUCUUGGUUCUC
Molecule: unclassified non-coding RNA, 410 nt
Filed under: fungal sp.
Lineage: Eukaryota; Fungi
Description: partial internal transcribed spacer region
Rfam family: Eukaryotic small subunit ribosomal RNA (bases 1-46)
Source: RNAcentral